Oncorhynchus keta (chum salmon) is the source of this 2099-nucleotide long non-coding RNA. RefSeq lists it as uncharacterized. NCBI's taxonomy places the organism in Eukaryota, Metazoa, Chordata, Actinopteri, Salmoniformes, Salmonidae. The transcript has 3 exons. The record is from RefSeq and is a predicted model, not a curated record.
ACGAGGUGAAUCAGGUGAGCUGGUUCAGGCCCUUGACUAGGUGAAUCAGGUGAGCUGGUUCAUGCCCUUGACUAGGUGAAUCAGGUGAGCUGGUUCAGGCCCUUGACUAGGUGAAUCAGGUGAGCUGGUUCAGGCCCUUGACUAGGUGAAUCAGGUGAGCUGGUUCAGGCCCUUGACUAGGUGAAUCAGGUGAGCUGGUUCAGGCCCUUGACUAGGUGAAUCAGGUGAGCUGAUUCAUGCCCUUGACUAGGUGAAUCAGGUGAGCUGGUUCAGGCCCUUGACUAGGUGAAUCAGGUGAGCUGGUUCAGGCCCUUGACUAGGUGAAUCAGGUGAGCUGGUUCAGGCCCUUGACUAGGUGAAUCAGGUGAGCUGGUUCAGGCCCUUGACUAGGUGAAUCAGGUGAGCUGGUUCAGGCCCUUGACUAGGUGAAUCAGGUGAGCUGGCCACUCUACCAUAAAGGUGGAGUGCUGAAGAGAUGGUUGUUCUUCUGGAAGGUUCUCCCAUCUCUAGAGCUCUGUCAGAGUGACCAUCGGGUUCUGGUCAGCUCCCUGACGAAGGCCCUUCUCCCUUGAUUGCUCAGUUUGGCCGGGCGGCCAGCUCUAGGAAGAGUCUUGGUGGUUCUAAACUCUUCUACCAGUUUAAAAAUGAUGAAGACCACUGUGUUCUUGGGGACCUUCAAUGCUGCAGAAAUGUUUUUGGUACAUUUCCCCAGAUCUGUGCCUCGACACAAUCCUGUCUCAGAGCUCUGUGGACAAUUCCUUCGGCCUCAUGGUGGACUCCAAGUUGGAGAAACAUCUCAAGGAUGAUCAAUGGAAACAGGAUGCACCUGAGCUCAAUUUUGCGUCUCAUAACAAAGGGUCUGAAUACUUAUGUAAAUAGUUUUUUUUUUUUAUAUAUACAUUUGCAAAAAUAUCUAAACUUGUUUUUGCUCUGUCAUUAUGGGGUGUUGUGUGUAGAUUGAAUCAUUUGAUUUAAUCCAUUUUAGAAUAAGGCUGUAACGUGGAGAAAGUCAAGGGGUCUGAAUACUUUCUGAAUGUACUGUACACGGUUCUUUUAUAUCAGCAUCCCCUUGUGUGUUCUUAAAGGUGAAGGUUGUUGUAGCUAACCACAUGAUAGCCAGAUCAGUUUCUGCCUUUGUUCUUGUCAUAUAAAGGGGUGUUGUCUAAAUCAGAAAGGUGACUUUAGUCAGGCCCUGUAUUUGUUCACCUGGAUGAUACCUUCUCAGUGGUUUCUUAGUGGCAGUCCACUAUUCACCAGGCAAUGGGACUUGAAUGCUGCAUUCAUAACCAAGUGGGAGGUGGGAAUUUACCAGUUGGAUGCAUUCACUCGCUUGUGACUGACCAGCUGAAAUUGGUCUUAUGUAGCAAAAAAAAUAAAAGUAGAGACUCAGAGCUACAAAAUGGUAUAUCUUACACUGCAAUUGAGGAACAAUGGGAAAGUAGAUGAACUUGUAAACUCACUUGAGAAAAGGGCCUUUGAUACCUACAAGUCCUGUUCCCAGCCGUCUAAGGAUUCACACGUGAGGUCGCGCGCUAAACAGUGAAGUAAAGAUGAAGACUAAAAGGGGUAGUCUGCAAUAAGGACCAAUUCCAGGUAAAUGUUACUUGUCUAAAUUGAUGGGUCAUGUGAAAUAAAUGCUGUGACCCCCAGCCACAUCCCACAUCAGUAAAAGUAGACAUCAUUCCAAAUUCCUUAAACCAGACAGAUAUUUCCAAAAGGGGAAGAAAACAAAUUUGUACAAACUAAGCAUUUGUGUUUAGUGAGUUGGCUAGAUUAGAGGCAGUAGGGAUGUUCUCUUGAACAGUGUGAAUUUGUAUCAAGUACUUUUGGGUUAAGGGAAAUGUAAGUAAAAAGUACAUUUUCUUUAUGAAUGCAGUGAAGUAAAUGUAGACAAAUAUAUAUACCACAUUACAGCCAAAUGGUUACUUGCAUAGUAGCAAUAUCAGUAAGAUGGUGUCAAACUAAAUAAAAUAUACAGCAUGUACAAUAAUGAUAUGGGUGAGAGACGAGGUAGUUAUAUGCAUACAAUCAGGGGUAAAAUGGCUGAGCAGCAGGAUAACAAACAAAUAGCAGCAACGUAUGGUGUGUGUUAGGAGAGA